UAGUGAAGCACAGCAUCUCACACUUGCCACAUAACAGGCCAGCAUAUCUCAGCACAAUCAUGCGUCAACUGUGUCUUACCUUUAUCCUUUUAGUCGCAGUAGCAGAAGCUGUGAAUCUGCAUCAGGAGCAGUUAACAGUGACCAAAGCUUCAGGCAAAUCCGGUGUUAUUGAAUGCAGAGCUACAGGCUUCAGCACUAGUAACAUUCACUGGUAUCAGCAAAGAGAUGGAGAAGCUCUGAGGUGGAUCCUGUUCAUGUAUAAAGAUGGUGGAAAACCAACCAAGGAUCCUGAUUUUGAGGAUUACCAAGCAGAAAAGGAAGACAGUUCUGACAAAUUCACACUGACAAUCCCUACCCUAAAUACAGAUCAUGAAGCCACAUACUACUGUGCUAGCUUGGAUAAGCACAAUGAGAACCAGGUCAGGAAACCCAAAGUGACCGUGUACCAGGAGUCCAAACCUGAGCUGAAUGGGAACACCAUCCUACUGCGUCUGGCUAGAGACAUGUUUCCAGACUUAGUCAAGAUCUCAUGGAAGAUGGAGGAUGAAAACGGCCGAACCGUGGAGGUGCCCAAAGCAGAGAGGGAAGAGCUGGAGCAGAGGGAGGAAGGACAGACGACCAGUAUGAUCAUCAUUAAUCAAGGAAAGGCAAAUGCCAAAAACAUAUUUCAGUUUACUUCCUGA
This is a non-coding RNA of Coregonus clupeaformis (lake whitefish), 683 nucleotides long. NCBI's taxonomy places the organism in Eukaryota, Metazoa, Chordata, Actinopteri, Salmoniformes, Salmonidae. The record is from the annotation of a RefSeq genome assembly.